Molecule: unclassified non-coding RNA, 200 nt
Filed under: Hevea brasiliensis (rubber tree)
Lineage: Eukaryota; Viridiplantae; Streptophyta; Magnoliopsida; Malpighiales; Euphorbiaceae
Source: RNAcentral
GAUACCCCAUUAUGUGUCUUCUAUUGUGCGUGGGCGUAUUUUACUCGCAGCCCUCAACUUUUGUUGUAAAUCCCACUUUCUUCAGAAUUCUCUCAAAUUUUUUGAGAAAAACUUUUUCUCUGAAAAUAAUAAAAGCUAAUUCUAGUUGCUAAAACUGCAAUGACAGCCUCAGCACAAUAGAAGACACAUAAUGGGGUAUC